Molecule: ribosomal RNA, 607 nt
Filed under: uncultured Actinomycetes bacterium
Lineage: Bacteria; Bacillati; Actinomycetota; Actinomycetes
Description: bacterial SSU rRNA
Rfam family: Bacterial small subunit ribosomal RNA
Source: RNAcentral
GAUGAACGCUGGCGGCGUGCUUAACACAUGCAAGUCGAACGAUGAUCCUCACUUGUGGGGGGAUUAGUGGCGAACGGGUGAGUAACACGUGAGUAACCUGCCCUUAACUCUGGGAUAAGCCUGGGAAACUGGGUCUAAUACCGGAUAUGACCUUCCAUCGCAUGGUGGUUGGUGGAAAGCUUUUUGUGGUUUUGGAUGGACUCGCGGCCUAUCAGCUUGUUGGUGAGGUAAUGGCUUACCAAGGCGACGACGGGUAGCCGGCCUGAGAGGGUGACCGGCCACACUGGGACUGAGACACGGCCCAGACUCCUACGGGAGGCAGCAGUGGGGAAUAUUGCACAAUGGGCGCAAGCCUGAUGCAGCGACGCCGCGUGAGGGAUGACGGCCUUCGGGUUGUAAACCUCUUUCAGUAGGGAAGAAGCGUAAGUGACGGUACCUGCAGAAGAAGCGCCGGCUAACUACGUGCCAGCAGCCGCGGUAAUACGUAGGGCGCAAGCGUUAUCCGGAAUUAUUGGGCGUAAAGAGCUCGUAGGCGGUUUGUCGCGUCUGCCGUGAAAGUCCGGGGCUCAACUCCGGAUCUGCGGUGGGUACGGGCAGACUAGAGUGA